Molecule: ribosomal RNA, 292 nt
Filed under: uncultured bacterium
Lineage: Bacteria
Description: partial 16S ribosomal RNA
Rfam family: Bacterial small subunit ribosomal RNA
Source: RNAcentral
GUGCCAGCCGCCGCGGUAAUACGGAGGGGGUUAGCGUUGUUCGGAAUUACUGGGCGUAAAGCGCACGUAGGCGGAUCAGAAAGUUGGGGGUGAAAUCCCGGGGCUCAACCCCGGAACUGCCUCCAAAACUACUGGUCUAGAGUUCGAGAGAGGUGAGUGGAAUUCCGAGUGUAGAGGUGAAAUUCGUAGAUAUUCGGAGGAACACCAGUGGCGAAGGCGGCUCACUGGCUCGAUACUGACGCUGAGGUGCGAAAGUGUGGGGAGCAAACAGGAUUAGAAACCCCGGUAGUCC